Molecule: long non-coding RNA, 7265 nt
Filed under: Sus scrofa (pig)
Lineage: Eukaryota; Metazoa; Chordata; Mammalia; Artiodactyla; Suidae
Description: lncRNA (ENSSSCG00005016486.1)
Source: RNAcentral
AAAGGAUCCUUUGGAAUUUAUUCCCAGCCGAUGCUCUUUUGAUAUUACAGAGAGUUAUAAAAUCAGGAUGCUGUCACAACUGUUGCGAAGUAUACACUGAAGUUGUGUCAUUUUUGCCACUAGAUGAGAUUAAAAGGAGACAAUUUGUUCAAAGCCAUCACAAAACACUCUAAGACUGACCAAAAUUUAGAUAACCUUUGAACCGCAGUUUUUUCCCACGUCUGUGAGACACAGUGCAUUGCUACUGCCCUUCCAGAGACCGUGUUGAACAAAGAAAGUCCAAAAGACUCUAAAUGAAAACCUUGAUACCGUUGAGGAUGUGUUUCAUUCUGGUGGUCUGUUUUGCAACCAUGAUGACAGAAUGUCCCCUGCCGUUAUAAAUGCUAUAGAGAUGUGGGCUGUGGCCGGCCAUCCCGAGAUGUAACAUGGCACAAGACAAACUGCUACACUCCCUCUAGUCAGAAACCUGUGGACCGUGGGGGCUGGACAUCCAUCUCAUCCAUCUGUAGACAAGAUGUGCUUCCGAAUCCUUUGGAAAGCCAGAUUGGGGGGCGGGGUGCAGGCGAUCGGAGGGUGGCACUUAAACUAGAGUGACCCCAUUCCCCAACCUGAAUCGUGGCCACACACAGGAAAUUUCCCCACUGGCUUUCCAGAGCAGGACUGUGGCUGCCACCUUCCCCUCCUCGUGUUUUGAGAAAACAGCAGCGUUGGUCAUCUAACAAGCAUCCAGCUCAGCACCGGGCACCAAAAAGUAGAUUCAUUCAACUAGAGACCCCAGCUCCCCUUCUCACCAUUUUCUUUCUCAAGUUGACUGGUGCUUUCUGGAAGGUGUCUGCGCCUCCAAGUUUAUGAAGAAUGAAGCUAAAAGGUUGAUUGACCACAGCAUGACCACCAUAUCCCGAUCUCCAAGUCCAUCCUCCCGCCUUCUAACACGUGACGUUUUGGGGAAUGGAGACUUAAACCCCAACUCAGAGAAGCCCUCCCUCCAGCAUCUUCGUUGUCCUGGUUUCUAGGGAGAGAGUUCCCAAUUUGAAUGGAACAGCCACCAUAGUGGCUGUUGACUCUCUCCUGGUUUUUUGUUUUUUCAUUUUUUUGGCCAUCUCGUGGCAUGUGGAGUUGCCAGGCCAGGGAUCAGAUCCGAGCCACCAUUGCAACCUGUGCCACAGUGUGGCGACCUGACCCACUGUGCUAGACCAAGGAUCGAACCUGCGUCAUGACGCAGCAGAGACACCAAUCCUAUUGCACCACAGCAGGAACUCCUCUCCCCAUUUUUAUUUUACUGUUUCUUUUAUUUUUCUCAAACUCUGUGGGGAAGCUGAGUUGGGUGACUUUGCAGCUGAAUCAAGAAUGACGAUGAAAAGGUGGUCAUAGUGGUGCCAACCCAAUGCCUGGGGGUUUCAAGGAUACAGCGAACAUUUCGGAACUCAGGCCAACAAAAUCCAGUGACCAGAAGGGGACAGUUGAGGGCCGUUCCAGAAAUCUCAACUCUCAUGCACCCAGCCCAGGCUGCAGUCUCCACACCAGUCAAUGAAGAGCAACGCAAACCCUGCAGGAAAAACCUCCUUUUCCAUACACCCAGGCUAUGCAUUGAAGAGUUUUCCACUGUAUACAUUUUUAUCCAGAUGAAGGUAUUUUUGUAUUUUGACAAUAGGAAACAGUGACCAAUUUUCAGAGUCAUCAAAUCUGGAACAAAUGAAACAUCUCCCUUUAGCCACCGCUGCCCUGUCCCAAUUAAGGCACCCAUGGGGGACACACCACUUUUUACUGUUGAAACCCACACAACAUUGAAAUCCAGGCUUACAUGCAGACUGCAGUUGUUAGAGGACUAAAUCUGGCUUUUGUGUGACGGGAUUUGAUUAAGCACUUAGUAUAGUCUUUUGAACGCGGAAAUCCUGUUGUACUUAAAGCUAGCAGACCCGUGAACAACUUUGUCAGGUUCACGUCCUAUAACGGUAAACAGAACAAAAACCCACAAAACCGUUUCUAUGAGAGAUUGAUGAACUUUGUUUAAAUUAAAAAAAAAAAAAAGGAACACGUUCUGUAAUAAACACGUCGCUCAAUACAGAAUUGUAUAAUAAUGUCUGGGUCUCCUGCUUGCUUUGUCCUGGAGCUGGGGGUACAAAUUGGGGGUCAGAUCUGGCCCUCAAGUGUUUUACAAAGUGAUAUUUUUAAAAACUUUUUAAAAUUCAUUUGCCACGGAUAAAAUGUGGGGGCUUGUCACCUAAAAAUUGCAAUUACCAGCUUCACUGGAAAAACCGUUAAGAUCUGGCUACACUGGGCUCAAGUCGCAGUGCGACAACAGGAAGCUGAGGAGGGGCCACUCCAUUAGGUCACGUGCCUGUGAUGUUCCUUGGUCCACACCUGUGCCCCCUGCCCAGGUCCUGUGGACAUCUUGGUUGGCAGUUGUGCUGUGGGCUCCAACAAUGAAAGAUGGAAGGAUUGGAAUCACUUUCCACGCAUUUCAACAGGUGGAAGCUGGUUAGUCUCUGGGAGCCAAAAUCAUGCCCUGCCCCAAUUGGACCCAUGGGCUUGGGCCUAAGGCCAGCCAGUUUACAAGCUCUGCCCACCUCAGUGGAGGGCGUGAGUGGCGGGUGUCCCCAGGCCUCCUGAUGGAAAAAUGCCAGGAGGGACUUCCUGGUGACAAACACAGCAGUGCCCCUUUCCCAGAUGUAUAACUAGGGCCUCAGUCUCCCUCUCUGUAAAAUGAGGGUAGCACAACUCUAAAGGUCAUUAUCAGGAAAAAUGAUGCAUGUAAAACGCAUAAGCCAGUGUGGGGCACAUAAAGGCUCAGUGUUACUUACUGAUUUUGUGAGUGGGAGUGGGGUUCUUUCAACCCAUGAUAGUGAGUCUCUCUGUUCAUCAAGCCUCAGGAGGUUUGUUUUUUCUUGAUCAGUAAUCUCAAGAGAGUUCUCCAAGUGGCCUUAAACAUUACUCACCCAUGAGCCAAGGGCACGUGGCAUCGCAAGACAGACUUUUUCUCUUUAUUUGGAAACCUUCCGAUCGUCUCAGUUUUUCCUCAGUGGAUACAGACAUUGUGUCUGUAGUUGCUGCCCAUCUGGAGUGGACAAUGCAACAAAAACACAGAAAUGUGGAAUUCUGAACUAGGGACCAUGGGAGAGUAGGGAGUGGAGAGACCAAAAGAAAUGAGAAGGAAGAAAGGCCUUGCAGGCAGAGGCAGGUUUAGAUGAGGGGUCAGAGGAGAGCAAAGAGCUGAGCUGGGGGCAAUUUAGCGACCAUUCAUCCAGGUGAUAAGUAUGAAUUGAGUACCUACUGUGUGUUCAGUGCUUCAAUGGCAGAAAUAUCAUCGAGAGCAUGAGUCCUGGAAGGCUUCUUGGAGGAGGAAACAGCUUACCUGAAAGACCAUAGGAGUUAGAGGAGAAGCAUAAGAGGUGGGUAGAAGGGAGAGCUGGCAAGCCAGGGGACAAGGGUAUGAGGAAACCAGUCCAGAGGAAGCUGGAAUUUGAGGUGAGGGUAGAAGGAAGAAGCCAGACAGGGCCACAGCAUGAAGCCCCCUGGGGCAUGGUGGGAAAUAGGCCCUUCUCCUGAGGAGAGCUGGGGAGCUAUGGGGGGUGUUAGGCAGGGGGUUGCUGUGGCCAGACUUGCACUUCUAGGAGCUUAGGAGGUUGCAUUGGCCUAGGAAGAUGGCAGGCCAGACCAGAGCAGCAGGCCCACUCCCAGUGCAGACCCUGACUUCAAGCCUCUGCGGUUCUUGCUUCCCACCCCUCCCCUCCUUGUCCCCCUAGUUAAGCUCCUCACAGGGCCAGCAGCCCCACCUCCCAUCACCUCCUGGUGAAUGGAUAAGCCACACCUCACCUGGCUGACUGGCUCAUGACCCCUGAGGUGUCUAUUCUAGAAAACAAUCUAAAGGCCAGGAGCUCCAGAGCACAGGGUGUGUCUUGUUUUGCAGGCACCCAGGAGGCUGAAGCCACCCUACCAAACCCCAAAGCUGUGAGGAUGGGGCAGGGACCACCAUCCUAAGUGAUCUUGGCCAACGAUGAGAGGGGUAAAAUAAUUGACCUCUUUCAUGGUCUGUGACCUUCCCUGUAGGGUAUAGUUAGUAAACACAACUAAAUGCUUCCUGGCCUGGGUUUCACUCUCUACUAUCAGGUAACCUGAGGACCCUUUAAUGAAACUCCUUUAAUGUUUCCUUAUCUGUAAAAUGGGCAUGAUCAAAGUACUAUCUACCUGUUUGUUGUCUAUUACUGCCAAAACAUAGUGACUUAAAACAAUAAACAUUUAUCUCGCAACCGCAACCUCUGUGGGUCAGGAAUUUGGGAGUGGCUUGGCUGAAUGGUUCUGGCUCCCAGUUCUCAAGAGGCUACAGUUAAGCUGUCAGCCCCAUGGCUGCAGUCAUCUGAAGGCUUUUCCUGGGUUGGAGAAUCCACUGCCACAAAGGCAUACUCAGAUGGGGGGCGAGCAGAUGCCCCCCAAAUGGCCUCUGCAAAUGGCCUCCUCUACGGGGCUGCCUAAGUGUCCUCAAAACAUGACAGCUAAGAGUGAGCAAGGCAGAGUCUGCAGUGUCUUCCAUAAUCUGGAUCUGGAAUCCCCACUGUUGCUUCCAUAGUAUCUUCUCGGCUUGUGUCAUUUAGUGUGGAAGGGACUACACAAGGGUGUGGACCCCAGAGGCAAGAAUCACCAGGGGCCAUCAGGGAGGCUGGCAACCACGCUGCCUUACAAGAUCCUUUGAAGGAGUUCCCGUUGUGGUUCAGUGGUUAACGAAUCCGACUAGGAACCAUGAGGUUGCGGGUUCGAUCCCUGGCUUUGCUCAGCAGGUUAAGGAUCCCAGCGUUGCUGUGAGCUGUAAUGUUGAUCGCAGACACGGCUCAGAUCUGGCGUGGCUGUGGCUGUGGCGUAGGCCAGCGGCUACAGCUCCAAUUGGACCCCUAGCCUGGGAACCUCCAUAUGUCACGGGUGCAGCCCUAGAAGACAAAAAAAAAAAAAAGAUUUAUUGAACUGGUAAAUGCAGAUUCCAGGAGUUGCCGUUGUGGCUCAGCAGUAACAAACCCGACUAGAAUCCAUAAGGACAUGGGUUCGAUCCCUGGCCUUGCUUAGUGGGUUGGGGAUCUGGGGUUGCCGUGGCUGUGGCAUAAGCUGGCAGCUGCAGCUCUGAUUCAACCCCUAGUCUGGGAACCUCCAUAUGCUCAAGUGCGCCCCUCCCCCAAAAAAGUGCAGAUUCCUGGGUCCUCCCGCAACCUACAGACCCAGAACUCCUGCAUUUUAAAGAAAUAGCCAUCAUCUAUCAGUAAGUGGGAGGUAGUUUUAAUUCAUUUUGUUUUAUUUGGCCCCAGUGUGUGCGCCAGGCCCUGGUAAAACAGAAGAGAAUAGGAGUACAGAACAAAUAUUCACUGGGUGUUUUCACAUCGGUUGUUGUUGCGUUGAAAGAAAUUGUGAUCCACUUAAACAUGUGCAAACAGGAGUUCCUGCUGUGGCACAAUGGGAUCAGUUUCUUCUCUGCAGCACCAGGUUGUAGGUUCGAUCCCCAGCCAGGCACAGUGGGUUAAAGGAUCCGGCGUUGCCGCAGCUGCCGCAUAGGUUGCAAUUGCAGCUUGGAUCUGAUCCCUGGCCAGCAAACUUCCAUAUGCCGCAGGGAAGCCAAAAAAAAAAGUUACAAACAGUUUAUUGAGACCAUCCAGAGGAAUCUUGUGAAAAUCCAAAGGCUUUGGGACACUGCAUAUUCUUAUCUUGAGCCACGAGUUCUCUCUCUAAGGCCACCUCAUUCCCAGCUUAGUCCAUUCACCCACCCUCAACCCCUCCCCAAUUCAAAAUUCUCAGGACCCUGAUUGGCUCAGCUUGUGUCUAAGGACCAACUCCUGCCCAAGCAGCCAUGGUCAGGGAGGGUAGAAUCAUGUGAGCUGAGUGUGCACGGGAGGUGAUUUUUAACAUAUCUGUGCUGGGUACUGUGCCAGGCCCUGGGGGCACAUGGGAAGCAGACCUGUCCCUGCUCUCAAGGAGUUGCAGUCUGGGGGACCUGGGUGUGCUGCCCCAGGAUUUCUCGGCCCCAUAACUAGAGAAAUAAUAACAGAGCCCCUGGACAAUGAAGGGAGGGCAGUGGCGGUGGCAAGAACAGACACAGCUGUGGUCCCACGUCUGGGGAGACCAAGCUGAGAAAGCUCUGACCCCUCUGUCAGGAGCAGGCAACCAAUUUGAAAACCUAAAGAAAAAACAGUUCAUGGGCCCACCUUUUUAAGUCUUUAUCAGCAAAUGCAAAAUCUGUAGCUGGUCUUAAGUGUUUAUCAGUUGACCGCCAUGGAAUAGUUCCAUUUUGGAUGCUUCAGUUUUAGAAACUGGGGCAAGUGGCAGGGCCUUUUGUGUAAGAUGAUCUGGAGAGACCUUGGGGGGGGUGGACAUUGGGCUCCAGAUCUAGCCAGAGCAGGGACAAAACAGCCCUGUUUGGGAGCAUAAAAGGUGCUGGGCAGAAGUGGGGGUGGGGAGUGCUAGUCUUUCAAUAGUCGUUCACUCAGAAGAGGAGAGAUGAAAGGCAUCCAGGGAAAAGUUGAGGAAAUCAGUGGGCCUUCUCAUGCCCCAAAGGAUCUCACUCUAGCCCUAACCUUCACCCCAGUGAGCUGACAACAGCCCUGUCUAUGGUUGGCUACCCAGAGCCAUGCGCCUUAAAGGGAGCAGCUGCAGUUGCUCAAGCUUAUCCAUUAGCAAGCCUCUGACUGCAAAUAACAAAAAAGUCCCCCUCAAAGCUUUAAACAUUUAUUACCUCAAAUAACAAGACCUCCAGAAGAAGGGCAGGUUCUCAGAUCCAUUGACUGAGCAGUUCAAGGAUAUUUUCAAGCGUGUGCUAAAUUCAGCAUGGGAUAUUUUCCUUAGUGCGGCCUACUUCAUGAUCACAGGAUGGCUGCUACAGCUCCAGGGAUCAGAGGUAACUUAACUCCCAGAGAACAAUGAAGAACUCUUCAUUGUGUCUCUCUUUUUAGAAGCAAGAAGACCCUUCCACUCACAUGUCAUUGGCCAAAAUAAGGUCACACAGCCAUUCCUUUCUCUAUGUAUGUAUGUAACUUUUUACAAAUACUGUUUCCAGUGUACAGCAUUCUAAUUCUACACCUGUAUACACUGAAAGUGAUCAACACCACAAAUCUAGUUGUCAUCCAUCACCAUGCAGUUGAUGCCCUCCACUCAUUUCACUCGCCACCCUCCAACACAGCAGCUCAAGGUUAGCCAGUCCCUGUCAAUCAAAUGGUAGUAGCACAACUGAUAGGAUGUGACUGAUUAUUUAGGGUGGGUAGAUGAUGCGCAGGGAGCUAGCUCCUAACUUCGGA